This 271-nucleotide ribosomal RNA is filed under the name uncultured bacterium. RNAcentral describes it as "partial 16S ribosomal RNA". It matches the Rfam family "Bacterial small subunit ribosomal RNA", at positions 29 to 329 of the family's 1533-position model. The record is from RNAcentral.
AACGAACGCUGGCGGCAGGCUUAACACAUGCAAGUCGAGCGCCCCGCAAGGGGAGCGGCAGACGGGUGAGUAACGCGUGGGAAUCUACCCUUCUCUACGGAACAACUCCGGGAAACUGGAGCUAAUACCGUAUACGCUCUUCGGGGGAAAGAUUUAUCGGAGAUGGAUGAGCCCCGNGUUGGAUUAGCUAGUUGGUGGGUAAUGGCCUACCAAGGCGACGAUCCAUAGCUGGUCUGAGAGGAUGAUCAGCCACAUUGGGACUGAGACACGG